ACUAAACAAGAAUAUAUUAGACUAUUCAGCGUUACUAAGUGAUGCAGCAGUCCCACAUGAAGACAAACGAGAUGCAACUAGCACAGCAACUCAAAAGAUGCCAGGGAAAACUGAACAAUUGAAGAUUGUAGAAGGGCACGCAGCUAUCAAAGUGGUCGACAACUAACGGCAAUAAUCGUUAACAGGAAACCAAAGGAAAAGGACAGUUCUCAGUAGGACAUAGAGAUGGUGGUCAAAAUAACAAGAUAAAAAGAAAUAAAUAAAGUUCUGUGCUGUAGUCCAUAGAUGUGAAAAUGCAUAAAGGACCCCCAAAUGGUAUUGACAGUUAUCAACGAUGGACACAAGAGUUAAUUGGUUCUACAGCAAGGAUGAAGCAUUAAGUAUUAGGAGCUUCAAACACUGCCUAUGUGAGGUGCACAAAAAUCAAAACAUCUGCCUUCCCAAAUAUUAAAAAUUUUUAGAUGAAAGGAUUCAUGGAGCCAAGUGCCAGCAAUGGUUGAUGGACCAUAAUCUCAAAAAUACGGAGUAAAGUCUAUGGUUAAUCAAUUAUGUAUACACAGGAGUAUACAUAAAGUGAGAAGUAAGCGACAGAUGCACUAGAUCAUGUCACAUUAUAAACACUUGCCACACAAACCUUAGCAAUCAUCAGUACCAUAUGUGGAUUAUGUAUGUUUGUGAUAACCAAUGUAUUCAUUCUUCAUUCUUAGCUAUUUCCAUUUCUUCCUGUGCUCAGUACUAUUUGUGCAGAGCAAACAUGAGCAACUCCACUUUUAACAUGUUUAUGUGACAACAGAUGUAUGUAGGCCUGGUCCUUUCUUGUAUUCAUUUCUAUAUUGCAUGCCUAGAGAAGGUAAUUUGUUUUCCUCUUUUCUUUGUCAUAAUGCAUACUAUAUUUUUAUGACAAAGUUGUUUACUGAGUUUGACUUGUUUUAGGCUAGAUUCAUUUCUAUUUAUUUAUGGGACACCACACAAAGUUUACAAGCAUUUGAUGGAGGCAAAUUAUUUCCUGUGAUGUUUUGUAUGCUCCUUAUCUCAUGUGCCUAACGCCACCUAGUAUAAGUAAG
This is a long non-coding RNA of Schistocerca piceifrons (Central American locust), 1064 nucleotides long. RefSeq lists it as uncharacterized. The record is from RefSeq and is a predicted model, not a curated record. NCBI's taxonomy places the organism in Eukaryota, Metazoa, Arthropoda, Insecta, Orthoptera, Acrididae. The transcript has 3 exons.